AAUGAACGCUGGCGGCAGGCCUAACACAUGCAAGUCGAACGGAUCCUUCGGCCUUAGUGGCGCACGGGUGCGUAACGCGUGGGAAUCUGCCCCUCGGUUCGGAAUAACAGUUAGAAAUGACUGCUAAUACCGGAUGAUGACUUCGGUCCAAAGAUUUAUCGCCGAGGGAUGAGCCCGCGUAAGAUUAGGUAGUUGGUGGGGUAAAGGCCUACCAAGCCGACGAUCUUUAGCUGGUCUGAGAGGAUGAUCAGCCACACUGGGACUGAGACACGGCCCAGACUCCUACGGGAGGCAGCAGUGGGGAAUAUUGGACAAUGGGCGAAAGCCUGAUCCAGCAAUGCCGCGUGAGUGAUGAAGGCCUUAGGGUUGUAAAGCUCUUUUACCAGGGAUGAUAAUGACAGUACCUGGAGAAUAAACUCCGGCUAACUCCGUGCCAGCCGCCGCCGUAA
RNAcentral lists this ribosomal RNA (449 nucleotides) under uncultured bacterium. RNAcentral's name for it is "partial 16S ribosomal RNA". It matches the Rfam family "Bacterial small subunit ribosomal RNA", at positions 29 to 523 of the family's 1533-position model. The record is from RNAcentral.